This is a long non-coding RNA of Micropterus salmoides (largemouth bass), 631 nucleotides long. RefSeq lists it as uncharacterized. The transcript is spliced from 2 exons. NCBI's taxonomy places the organism in Eukaryota, Metazoa, Chordata, Actinopteri, Centrarchiformes, Centrarchidae. The record is from RefSeq and is a predicted model, not a curated record.
CAUGGCGUCGCGUCUAGAAGAAAUGAUCCUAUGGUGCAAAGCCCAGAAGAGGGAAACGGAAAAAACGCCUCUUAGCCUUCCUGCGUUUAAAGUGCCAACGGAUGAAAUGCCUAGAGGCAGCAGGUUACAAUGUCCAGAGGAAGUUGCGGACCUUCAGACGGGAAGCUUGCUGGGCUUUAUUUCCUCGAGGGUCAGUGCCAAGAACCUGUCGUUCUCCUAGGAGGAGACAUGCUCACCGGAGAACUCGUUUUCAGUCACUCAGGAGUCGCUUUAAGUCUUCAGCAGCACGAACUGGUGUCAAAAAGAAACGGCUGAAAGGCAAAGGAAAAGGGCUGCGUCAUCGGUGUCUGGACUGUCGGGGGACGGCCAAAGAAACUGGACUACGUACAAGGCGACAUCUCAGACCACUGACUGUAACAUCCACGAUGACAUAGAUGAUAUAUUUGCCUCUGUAGGUUUGUGACCCUCUGGAAACAAAUCACUUUAAGCAGCUGAGCUCAGUAUAUGACCCGUGCCUCUGUUUUUUUUAAGGAAAAGUUGGAUGUUCAUGUGUCACUUCAUGUGUAAUGAAAUCUGAUCAUUCGACAUUGUUCUAUACAAGUAGUAAAGAGCAGCAGCGGAUUGUACAGUA